CCUACGGGUGGCAGCAGUGGGGAAUAUUGGGCAAUGGGCGCAAGCCUGACCCAGCAACGCCGCGUGAAGGAAGAAGGCUUUCGGGUUGUAAACUUCUUUUCUGGGGGACGAACAAAUGACGGUACCCCAGGAAUAAGCCACGGCUAACUACGUGCCAGCAGCCGCGGUAAUACGUAGGUGGCAAGCGUUAUCCGGAUUUAUUGGGUGUAACGGGCGUGUAGGCGGGAAUGCAAGUCAGAUGUGAAAACUAUGGGCUCAACCCAUAGCCUGCAUUUGAAACUGUAUUUCUUGAGUGCUGGCGAGGCAAUCGGAAUUCGGUGUGUAGCGGUGAAAUGCGUAGAUAUACGGAGGAACACCAGUGGCGAAGGCGGAUUGCGGGACAGUAACUGACGCUGAGGCUCGAAAGCGUGGGGAGCAAACAGGAUUAGAUACCCCUGUAGUC
This 442-nucleotide ribosomal RNA is filed under the name uncultured bacterium. RNAcentral describes it as "partial 16S ribosomal RNA". It matches the Rfam family "Bacterial small subunit ribosomal RNA", at positions 338 to 795 of the family's 1533-position model. The record is from RNAcentral.